This 365-nucleotide ribosomal RNA is filed under the name uncultured eukaryote. RNAcentral describes it as "partial 18S ribosomal RNA". It matches the Rfam family "Eukaryotic small subunit ribosomal RNA", at positions 592 to 976 of the family's 1831-position model. The record is from RNAcentral.
CAAUAGCGUAUAUUUAAGUUGUUGCAGUUAAGAAGCUCGUAGUCGGAUUUUGGCUGAGAACGAUCGGUCCGCCGUUAGGUGUGCACUGAUUGGUCUCAGCUUCCUGGUGAGGAGGUGUGCUUCACGGCCACUUAGUCACCGUGGUUACUUUGAAAAAAUUAGAGUGUUCAAAGCGGGCUUACGCUUGAAUAUAUUAGCAUGGAAUAACACCAUAGGACUCCUGUCCUAUUUCGUUGGUCUCGGGACGGGAGUAAUGAUUAAGAGGAACAGUUGGGGGCAUUCGUAUUUCAUUGUCAGAGGUGAAAUUCUUGGAUUUAUGAAAGACGAACUUCUGCGAAAGCAUUUGCCAAGGAUGUUUUCAUUAA